UCGCUGGCGCGCGACAUACGGCCCUUCCUCUUAUUUCCUCCCGUUUCCUCCUUGCCCCAUCGCAUCAUGUUGGAUUCACGCCGUCGCGAACGGUCCAGCAGCCGCGCGAUCACGCGAGAUCUCAUUUAGACGCGACUCGCCCGGAACGGUCCCCGUUCCCCCGUUGCGAGUCGCGCGGAGAAUCUUUCGGGGGGGGUCCGAAGCGUCUGGUCGCGGCGAAUACUGUGCCAGUCGCGUGUCCGAGAGCGAUUCGCGGAGGAGAUUCUUAUCGACAGCGUUAUCGUGACGGGCCGUUCCACGUGAAAGGUGCACCCGAUGGUUCUUUCCCCCGCCGCGGAUUCCACUUCCGAAGACCAGACACUCCCUCUUCCUAUCCGAACAGCAGCGCGAGCGUAUGUUGCACGAUGAAUGUCAAUUAAUUGCGCUAUUAAUGAGGCAACGAGCUCGAGCAUCGAGACUAGGAAACGAUGGCCUCUGUCAUGAGUUCCGAAGACACAACUGACAAUGCGACGGCAGCAAAUUCCUCUGGCGUAAUUGUAAAACCGGAGAAUUGGGUCCAAUUUGAGGAAGAGACGGAUCCGAAGGAAGCUACCGAAAGAAAAGCCAAUAGUAGCACACCUGCUGUAAUAAAACCUGAAUCAGUUACUGUACAAGUCGAUAAAAUUAGUAAAAGUAUCGACCCGGCUGAUGUUAACGAUAAGAAAACCAAUGAGUAUAGAGGUGCUGUGAUAGCAACUGAAUCCGUCCAAAUUAAUCUAGAUAGAUCAGGUUUAAGUCGUUCCAUCACCUCCGAUACGCCGGAUCUUAAAUUACCGUCUGAUGUUCGAACGACGUCAGAAACCAAGAGUGCUUCUUUAAAAACCAUCGAUCUGAGAGACGUGUCAAAUGGCAGAAAUACAUCGAGCAAUGUUAUUAGCACGUCGAUUGGAAACAUCCGGCAAGGCUUUGCCAAUGGUGAUACUAUUGUUACUCUUCUACCAGUAAAUACUAAAUGGCCAUGGAUUACUCCAGCCAGAUUUAGACCAGAAUUGGUGCCGGAGGAAUUGAUGGCACAAGGAUUAACGCUUACAGUGGAAGAUUACGUUCAUAUAAUGGAAUUACUUGUGAACGAUGUACGCUUCAAUAUGUAUAAUAUAUGUUACAAGAGGAUUCUCGUUCUUUGGAUAUUCACCGCCUUCAUUGUACUGCUUGGUUUAUUGUUCUCUGGCGUGACUGGUCUUACAUUAUUUGGACUCGGUGUUAUGUGGUUAAUCCUGAACGCGGCCGCGAUAUUCUUCUGCAUGUUUAUCAAGAUAAAGCUCAAUCACAAUCUCGAGAAAUGUAUGGCUCAAGUUAACAAACAUUUAUUAAGGCAUAAAAUAUUAUUGGGAUUAGACGACAGAGGAAAAAUCUCCUGCCACAAAGUCAAUUUGUGUUUCAUAUAUUUUGAUACCACGGAUUGUGUUAAAAAACUGCAGGAAAUAAUAGAACGGGAAGAACGUGAAGGUAGAAUAAUCGGUGGCGAUGAUGCAAACGAAUUAAGCCGACAACGUGAAUUACAACAACGUAUGGACAUCGACGAUAGUGACAUUGUUAUACAAGGCAGCACCACUACAAGAAUUUCUCGUAAACAGCUGGACGGAAGAUGAUGAAUCUCAGUAUAUCAGUAUUGCCUCAUCCACAUAUCAUCAGCACAUAAUAAUAAUCUCUAAUGUUAUGUUAUCCACCAGGAUUGACGUGGUGUGCCUACCUUAAUGAUCCUGUAAGCCGAUUUGAUAUGGUACCAAGUUUAUCCCAUUAAAUAAUUUCUGCCUUUACAAAUCGAGUUGACACAAUACUGUUUCGUUCAAAUUUAA
Molecule: unclassified non-coding RNA, 1835 nt
Filed under: Pogonomyrmex barbatus (red harvester ant)
Lineage: Eukaryota; Metazoa; Arthropoda; Insecta; Hymenoptera; Formicidae
Description: uncharacterized LOC105428408, transcript variant X2
Source: RNAcentral